This 253-nucleotide ribosomal RNA is filed under the name uncultured bacterium. RNAcentral describes it as "partial 16S ribosomal RNA". It matches the Rfam family "Bacterial small subunit ribosomal RNA", at positions 524 to 776 of the family's 1533-position model. The record is from RNAcentral.
GACAGAGGUCUCAAGCGUUAGGCGGAAUCACUGGGCUUAAAGCGUGUGUAGGCGGAUCGUUAAGUGCUUUGUGAAAUCCCACGGCUCAACCGUGGAACUGCUUGGCAUACUGGCGAUCUUGAGCCAUCUAGGGGUCGCUGGAACAAACGGUGGAGCGGUGAAAUGCGUAGAUAUCGUUUGGAACGCCUAUGGUGAAAACAGGCGACUGGGGAUGUGCUGACGCUGAGACACGAAAGCCAGGGGAGCAAACGGG